Molecule: ribosomal RNA, 368 nt
Filed under: uncultured organism
Description: bacterial SSU rRNA
Rfam family: Bacterial small subunit ribosomal RNA
Source: RNAcentral
CGGAGGAUCCAAGCGUUAUCCGGAUUUAUCGGGUUUAAAGGGUGCGUAGGCGGAAUGAUAAGUCAGUGGUGAAAGCCUGCAGCUUAACUGUAGAAUUGCCGUUGAUACUGUUGUUCUUGAGUAUAUUUGAUGUGGGCGGAAUGUGUCAUGUAGCGGUGAAAUGCUUAGAUAUGACACAGAACACCGAUUGCGAAGGCAGCUCACAAAACUAUAACUGACGCUGAGGCACGAAAGCGUGGGGAUCAAACAGGAUUAGAUACCCUGGUAGUCCACGCUGUAAACUAUGAUUACUCGAUGUUUGCGAUACACUGUAAGCGUCUAAGCGAAAGCGUUAAGUAAUCCACCUGGGGAGUACGCUCGCAAGAGUG